AAGUCGUAACAAGGUUUCCGUAGGUGAACCUGCGGAAGGAUCAUUAACACGUAUCCAACGUUAAACAACCCUGUGAACGCUCUUGUAGCCCACGCGGAACAGCAAUCCCGGUAAAUCAGUUGGAGAAAAGGUUUUGAUUCGGGACCUCUGUCCAUCAGCUCACGGUUGCCAGAGGUCGAUCACCGGCCGGCAGACAUGUCACAGGGCUAUAUGCCCCCUCAUUCACACCCUAUCUGGCCACAAACCGAACAACUGUUAACAAUGGAUAUCUUGUUCUC
Molecule: unclassified non-coding RNA, 278 nt
Filed under: fungal sp.
Lineage: Eukaryota; Fungi
Description: partial internal transcribed spacer region
Rfam family: Eukaryotic small subunit ribosomal RNA (bases 1-46)
Source: RNAcentral